This 538-nucleotide long non-coding RNA is filed under the name Gorilla gorilla gorilla (western lowland gorilla). Its description in RNAcentral is "lncRNA (ENSGGOG00000044419.1)". The record is from RNAcentral. Lineage: Eukaryota; Metazoa; Chordata; Mammalia; Primates; Hominidae.
GUAACAUCAGUGCCUCUGUUGAGCACAGUGGUCACUCAAAAGAGGGAGAGUGAGUUCAGCCUAUCAUCUGAGAUCCGAGUAUGAUUGGGGAAAUAUCCUGAAAUAGUCUAUGAUUUGAAGAAAUGGAUAGAUGGCUAGAAUAAUAUGCUAGAUGCUAAGCAACAUGGAAAAAAAUCAAGCCUGCUCAGUCACUUCCAUGAGGACAAAUGAAGACACUUCAAGAUAAUGAUUGAUACACCUCCCAUGCCCCACCUCUCACCCAGGACAGGAUCAAAGUGUUGGGGGAGCCACAACCUGCUUCACCUAGAAAGGUACCAAACGCAGUCAGAUGAUACUUCCUGACAGCAUCCAAGAGCAAGUCUCACCACCACAUCUGUCAAUACAAAAGAAAACGAGGAGCUGCCAAUUUGUCUGUUUAUAGGUGCCAAUAAAAUCCUGCACAGAACUUUAGUCAACAAGACUAUUUCAGAAGGGGUGGCCAACAGUGUGGCCUUUCACUGGCAAGGGCCACCUUUGUCAUCACUUAAGAAAUAAAACC